This 65-nucleotide transfer RNA is filed under the name Eriosoma lanigerum (woolly apple aphid). RNAcentral describes it as "tRNA-Leu". The record is from RNAcentral. Lineage: Eukaryota; Metazoa; Arthropoda; Insecta; Hemiptera; Aphididae.
ACUAUUUUGGCAGAUAACUGCGUUAAAUUUAGAAUUUAAUUAUAUAAUUUUAAUUAUAAAUAGUA